GACGAACGCUGGCGGCGUGCUUAACACAUGCAAGUCGAACGGAAAGGCCCUGCUUUUGUGGGGUGCUCGAGUGGCGAACGGGUGAGUAACACGUGAGUAACCUGCCCUUGACUUUGGGAUAACUUCAGGAAACUGGGGCUAAUACCGGAUAGGAGCUCCUGCUGCAUGGUGGGGGUUGGAAAGUUUCGGCGGUUGGGGAUGGACUCGCGGCUUAUCAGCUUGUUGGUGGGGUAGUGGCUUACCAAGGCUUUGACGGGUAGCCGGCCUGAGAGGGUGACCGGCCACAUUGGGACUGAGAUACGGCCCAGACUGCUACGGGAGGCAGCAGUGGGGAAUAUUGCACAAUGGGCGGAAGCCUGAGGCAGCAACGCCGCGUGCGGGAUGACGGCCUUCGGGUGGUAAACCGCUUUCGCCUGUGACGAAGCGUGAGUGACGGUAAUGGGUAAAGAAGCACCGGCUAACUACGUG
RNAcentral lists this ribosomal RNA (468 nucleotides) under uncultured bacterium. RNAcentral describes it as "partial 16S ribosomal RNA". It matches the Rfam family "Bacterial small subunit ribosomal RNA", at positions 28 to 507 of the family's 1533-position model. The record is from RNAcentral.